AUACGUAGGGUGCAAGCGUUAAUCGGAAUUACUGGGCGUAAAGCGUGCGCAGGCGGUUUUGUAAGACAGAGGUGAAAUCCCCGGGCUCAACCUGGGAACUGCCUUUGUGACUGCAAGGCUAGAGGGCGGCAGAGGGGGAUGGAAUUCCGCGUGUAGCAGUGAAAUGCGUAGAUAUGCGGAGGAACACCGAUGGCGAAGGCAAUCCCCUGGGCCUGCACUGACGCUCAUGCACGAAAGCGUGGGGAGCAAACAGGAUUAGAUACCCUGGUAGUCCACGCCCUAAACGAUGUCAACUGGUUGUUGGGGAUUUAUUUUCUCAGUAACGAAGCUAACGCGUGAAGUUGACCGCCUGGGGAGUACGGCCGCAAGGUUAAAACUCAAAUGAAUUGACGGGG
Molecule: ribosomal RNA, 395 nt
Filed under: uncultured bacterium
Lineage: Bacteria
Description: partial 16S ribosomal RNA
Rfam family: Bacterial small subunit ribosomal RNA
Source: RNAcentral